GCGGGUGUAGCUCAAUGGUAGAGCGCGAGUUUUCCAAACUUGAUACGAGAGUUCGAUUCUCUUCACCCGCU
RNAcentral lists this transfer RNA (71 nucleotides) under Berkelbacteria bacterium GW2011_GWE1_39_12. RNAcentral describes it as "tRNA-Gly". It matches the Rfam family "tRNA". Rfam says of the family: Transfer RNA (tRNA) molecules are approximately 80 nucleotides in length. Their secondary structure includes four short double-helical elements and three loops (D, anti-codon, and T loops). The record is from RNAcentral. Lineage: Bacteria; Candidatus Berkelbacteria.